RNAcentral lists this ribosomal RNA (433 nucleotides) under uncultured bacterium. Its description in RNAcentral is "bacterial SSU rRNA". It matches the Rfam family "Bacterial small subunit ribosomal RNA", at positions 62 to 543 of the family's 1533-position model. The record is from RNAcentral.
UCGAACGCACCGCAAGGUGAGUGGCAGACGGGUGAGUAACGCGUGGGAACCUUCCCUAUAGUACGGAAUAACUCAGGGAAACUUGAGCUAAUACCGUAUACGCCCUUCGGGGGAAAGAUUUAUCGCUAUAGGAUGGGCCCGCGUUGGAUUAGCUAGUUGGUAGGGUAAUGGCCUACCAAGGCGACGAUCCAUAGCUGGUCUGAGAGGAUGAUCAGCCACACUGGGACUGAGACACGGCCCAGACUCCUACGGGAGGCAGCAGUAGGGAAUCUUGGACAAUGGGCGAAAGCCUGAUCCAGCCAUGCCGCGUGAGUGAAGAAGGCCUUAGGGUUGUAAAGCUCUUUUGGCGGGGACGAUAAUGACGGUACCCGCAGAAUAAGCCCCGGCUAACUUCGUGCCAGCAGCCGCGGUAAUACGAAGGGGGCUAGCGUUG